Molecule: long non-coding RNA, 200 nt
Filed under: Hordeum vulgare
Lineage: Eukaryota; Viridiplantae; Streptophyta; Magnoliopsida; Poales; Poaceae
Description: long non-coding RNA (HVUL_LNC015620)
Source: RNAcentral
UUCAAAGUCUUCAGAUUGAUUUUCUUCAGGACGCACCGAACUUCUCAUUUUCAAUAUGUUCAUGAGGAAUAUCAAUUUCAUCGCAAUUUCUUCGUGAUUCAAUUCUUCACCUUCAGACCAAUUUCUUCAGCCGAAGAUAUACAUUUUUAGGGGUCGAUAUUCAUCGAAUAUUUCAAACUCCUCAACGACUUAUAGAUCCU